RNAcentral lists this ribosomal RNA (246 nucleotides) under uncultured bacterium. RNAcentral describes it as "partial 16S ribosomal RNA". It matches the Rfam family "Bacterial small subunit ribosomal RNA", at positions 86 to 333 of the family's 1533-position model. The record is from RNAcentral.
AGAUGGCGACCGGCGCACGGGUGAGUAACACGUAUCCAACCUGCCGAUAACUCGGGGAUAGCCUUUCGAAAGAAAGAUUAAUACCCGAUGGUAUAAUCAGACCGCAUGGUCUUGUUAUUAAAGAAUUUCGGUUAUCGAUGGGGAUGCGUUCCAUUAGGCAGUUGGUGAGGUAACGGCUCACCAAACCUUCGAUGGAUAGGGGUUCUGAGAGGAAGGUCCCCCACAUUGGAACUGAGACACGGUCAA